UACGGAAGGCAGCAGUGGGGAAUAUUGCACAAUGGGCGCAAGCCUGAUGCAGCCAUGCCGCGUGUAUGAAAAAGGCCUUCGGGUUGUAAAGUACUUUCAGUCGUGAGGAAGGUGUUAAGGUUAAUAACCUUAGCAAUUGACGUUAGCGACAGAAGAAGCACCGGCUAACUCCGUGCCAGCAGCCGCGGUAAUACGGAGGGUGCGAGCGUUAAUCGGAAUUACUGGGCGUAAAGGGCACGCAGGCGGUUAAUUAAGUUGGAUGUGAAAUCCCCGGGCUUAACCUGGGAAUGGCAUUCAAGACUGGUUAGCUAGAGUCUUGUAGAGGGGGUAGAAUUCCAUGUGUAGCGGUGAAAUGCGUAGAGAUGUGGAGGAAUACCGGUGGCGAAGGCGGCCCCUGGACAAAGACUGACGCUCAUGUGCGAAGCGUGGGGAGCAAACGAGGAUUAGAUACC
This 452-nucleotide ribosomal RNA is filed under the name uncultured bacterium. Its description in RNAcentral is "bacterial SSU rRNA". It matches the Rfam family "Bacterial small subunit ribosomal RNA", at positions 340 to 786 of the family's 1533-position model. The record is from RNAcentral.